UACGGGGGGGGCAAGCGUUGUUCGGAAUUACUGGGCGUAAAGGGCUCGUAGACGGCCAACUAAGUCGGAUGUGAAAUCCCCAGGCUUAACCUGGGAACUGCAUCCGAUACUGGAUGGCUUGAAUCCGGGAGAGGGAUGCGGAAUUCCAGGUGUAGCGGUGAAAUGCGUAGAUAUCUGGAGGAACACCGGUGGCGAAGGCGGCAUCCUGGACCAUUACUGACACUGAAAAGCGAAAGCCAGGGGAGCAAACGGG
This 253-nucleotide ribosomal RNA is filed under the name uncultured bacterium. Its description in RNAcentral is "partial 16S ribosomal RNA". It matches the Rfam family "Bacterial small subunit ribosomal RNA", at positions 524 to 776 of the family's 1533-position model. The record is from RNAcentral.